RNAcentral lists this ribosomal RNA (468 nucleotides) under uncultured bacterium. RNAcentral's name for it is "partial 16S ribosomal RNA". It matches the Rfam family "Bacterial small subunit ribosomal RNA", at positions 28 to 507 of the family's 1533-position model. The record is from RNAcentral.
GACGAACGCUGGCGGCGUGCUUAACACAUGCAAGUCGAACGGAAAGGCCCUGCUUGUGUGGGGUGCUCGGGUGGCGAACGGGUGAGUAACACGUGAGUAACCUGCCCUUGACUUUGGGAUAACUUCAGGAAACUGGGGCUAAUACCGGAUAGGAGCUCCUGCUGCAUGGUGGGGGUUGGAAAGUUUCGGCGGUUGGGGAUGGACUCGCGGCUGAUCAGCUUGUUGGUGGGGUAGUGGCUUACCAAGGCUUUGACGGGUAGCCGGCCUGAGAGGGUGACCGGCCACAUUGGGACUGAGAUACGGCCCAGACUCCUACGGGAGGCAGCAGUGGGGAACAUUGCACAAUGGGCGGAAGCCUGAUGCAGCAACCUCGCGGGCGGGAUGACGGCCUUCGGGUUGUAAACCGCUUUCGCCUGUGACGAAGCGUGACUGACGGUAAUGGGUAAAGAAGCACCGGCUAACUACGUG